AUCUUCCACAAUGGACGAAAGUCUGAUGGAGCAACGCCGCGUGCAGGAUGACGGCCUUCGGGUUGUAAACUUCUUUUAUUGGGGAAGAAAAGCACGGUUUCUACUGUGUCCGACGGUACCCAAGGAAUAAGCACCGGCUAACUCCGUGCCAGCAGCCGCGGUAAUACGGAGGGUGCAAGCGUUAUCCGGAUUCACUGGGUUUAAAGGGUGUGUAGGCGGGCUGUUAAGUCAGUGGUGAAAUCUCCGGGCUCAACCCGGAAACUGCCAUUGAUACUAUCAGUCUUGAAUUUUGUUGAGGUAGGCGGAAUAUGUCAUGUAGCGGUGAAAUGCUUAGAUAUGACAUAGAACACCGAUUGCGAAGGCAGCUUACUAAGCAAAUAUUGACGCUGAGGCACGAAAGCGUGGGGAUCAAACAGG
RNAcentral lists this ribosomal RNA (417 nucleotides) under uncultured bacterium. RNAcentral's name for it is "bacterial SSU rRNA". It matches the Rfam family "Bacterial small subunit ribosomal RNA", at positions 361 to 776 of the family's 1533-position model. The record is from RNAcentral.